Molecule: long non-coding RNA, 1905 nt
Filed under: Panax ginseng (ginseng)
Lineage: Eukaryota; Viridiplantae; Streptophyta; Magnoliopsida; Apiales; Araliaceae
Description: long non-coding RNA (PGIN_LNC008525)
Source: RNAcentral
AUCUUUGAACUGCUUGGUUGUGACAAGCCGCGCGUUGCUAUCAUUUUCACCCGUAUUUUGUAUACGAGUCUCCCUCGUCUGAUUUUGCAUGACCUGUAAAAAGCUUCUAAACAUUCCACCAUUCAUCAUUUAUUGGGUAGUGUUGUUUACAGGAGGAACAUUGUCGUCCUAUUUCACGUUCUCCUGGUUGGUGAUUAAAGGUGUUUCCACAGUCUCAUUCACUCCAUUGUUAACAUUUCCAGCUGCCAUUCUCAAAUACUACCACAAAAAAAGGGUUAAUUAAAAAAAAUGACAGACCACAUAAUACCCCUAUAUUCUGACCAACCAAUAAAUAAGCUUAGGUAGGACACACUAGCGAAGGAUUUACUCGUCUCUCCCCUCUUAGUUCUAUUCCCCAAUCUCCGCCAAAGACCAUAUCCCUAAGCUCUGAUACCAACUGUGACGCCCCCAAAAUAGGUAUACAUCACCCAUCUUGGGUCGCCAAAAAUAUGGUACAGAAAAUAACUACAACUUUAUUAUUACAAUUGUCGUGAAAAAUACAACAACACAUAUACUGUGAGUUUAAAUACAAAUAUUGUCUUCUAGACAAUAUCCACACUCAAAUAAGUCCUCAUUACAAUUAUUGAUACACUAUUUUACAAAAAUAGUGAGGACUGCUAAAACAAUUGACUAGAACCAUCAUUCCAUACCCGACUAGUUCCCGCUAUAUUCUAGCUCGGCUACUGAGACGAAAAAUAGAACAAAAAGGAAAAGGGUGAGCUCAACUAGCCCAGUAAAGAAUAUUAUGACUAAGAUAAUGAAUAAAAAAUUAUCGUUAGCUUUCAACAAAUCAGAUAAAAUAUAAUGGACAACAAAUUUUAGAUCAAUAUUCGCAGCGGAAAUAAAAAUUCAUUAGAAGAGUUUAGUAGAGAAUAAAAUCUACUGUCUUCUAUGAUUUAAAAGUCCAUCAUCAAUAUUUUAUCCCUGUAACAUCAAUCAAUAUAUAUCUUGAACCAAAUAUUCAUCUUUGCUUCAUGGGCCAAAGAUAUUAAUUUGUAUCAAUAGUUGGUCAUGUUUAUCUCAACACCUGUCCAUCUUUGCACUACGGGCCAAAGAUAUUCAUCAGGAAAUCAUUCAUCUUUGCACUAAAGGUCAAAGAUAUUCAUCAAGUAUCACCAUUAAAGACUGAGGAUGAUGAACAAUAUUUUAAAGAACGAAUCCAUUGAGAUAAAAGGACAAGGAUUAGGGAUUCGUACUUUAGAUAAUCCAAAGUUCAAAUAUACUCCAUAAUAAACCAUAUUGGAGUAAAAUUCAAAAAUGAAGAUCAAAACAUAGAUACAAUCAAAGUUAGUAACCAUAAUAGACAUCUGGAGCAAAGAAGAGAAAAUUUAAUUUUUCGGUGAAUAGUAUCGUAUACGUAAAUAGUAACCCUGACACGAAAAGGUUGAAAUUCCACAAGAAAAAUCAUACUUCGUGAACAGUACUCGUGAAUAGUACCGUAUUCGUGAAUAGUACCGUAUACGUGAAUAGUAACCUUGACAUGAAAAGGUAAAAAUUUCAUAAUAAAAUUCAUACCAAUAUUUCGGUAUAAUGAUAUUGAAAGAAAUAACAUCAUUUACGAAGAAAAUAAUAUCCUUUACCUCAAAAGAACAGUACUUUUGACUAGAAUAUCGGAUAUAAUGUUGAAGAAAACUUGCAUUGAAUAGCAACUCUCAAAAUAUCUAAAUACUCACAAAAAUACGCUCAAUAUUAUAGAGAGAAAAUUUCUGAUUCUGGUGUGAUUUUCAAUUCUAACCUAAGCACCCUAUUUAUAGAAAAAUGUCAGAAUGCCAAAGGAGACUUAACCUGCUAUCGAUGGCUAAUUCAUCUUUGCCAUUCAAGCACGCCACUUUUGAAAUUCAAUUUCAGGACAUUUCACCAAUAAAG